Long non-coding RNA from Aptenodytes forsteri (emperor penguin), 311 nucleotides. RefSeq lists it as uncharacterized. The transcript is spliced from 3 exons. NCBI's taxonomy places the organism in Eukaryota, Metazoa, Chordata, Aves, Sphenisciformes, Spheniscidae. The record is from RefSeq and is a predicted model, not a curated record.
CAGGUGAGGGUGCAGGAUCCCUGAAAGCCGAGCUGUCCCAGUGGAACAGGCUCUUCAACAUGAACAGACAUCGAUGGACUUCACACAAGCCUCAUGCCCCGGGAAGCUUGAUGGAGCUGGAAAGCGAAGAGGAGCCUCUUUUGAAUGCGGCUGCUAAGAGACCUGCAACACGGGUUCUCCCCCUCCUGCCUGCAAAACCCUCUGGUGUGGUCCCGGUCGAGAGGUUUUCUGAAGACAGAGCAGGAGAAACCAUUGGCUGCUUUGGGAGAAGCUGGGCACAGCUGGGAGCGAGCGGAGCAGGAACCCCUGGA